GCCUGAUCAGCCAUGCCGCGUGUGUGAAGAAGGCCUUUUGGUUGUAAAGCACUUUAAGCGAGGAGGAGGCUACUGAGAUUAAUACUCUUGGAUAGUGGACGUUACUCGCAGAAUAAGCACCGGCUAACUCUGUGCCAGCAGCCGCGGUAAUACAGAGGGUGCGAGCGUUAAUCGGAUUUACUGGGCGUAAAGCGUGCGUAGGCGGCUUUUUAAGUCGGAUGUGAAAUCCCUGAGCUUAACUUAGGAAUUGCAUUCGAUACUGGGAAGCUAGAGUAUGGGAGAGGAUGGUAGAAUUCCAGGUGUAGCGGUGAAAUGCGUAGAGAUCUGGAGGAAUACCGAUGGCGAAGGCAGCCAUCUGGCCUAAUACUGACGCUGAGGUACGAAAGCAUGGGGAGCAAACAGGAUUAGAUACCCUGGUAGUCCAUGCCGUAAACGAUGUCUACUAGCCGUUGGGGCCUUUGAGGCUUUAGUGGCGCAGCUAACGCGAUAAGUAGACCGCCUGGGGAGUACGGUCGCAAGACUAAAACUCAAAUGAAUUGACGGGGGCCCGCACAAGCGGUGGAGCAUGUGGUUUAAUUCGAUGCAACGCGAAGAACCUUACCUGGUCUUGACAUAGUAAGAACUUUCCAGAGAUGGAUUGGUGCCUUCGGGAACUUACAUACAGGUGCUGCAUGGCUGUCGUCAGCUCGUGUCGUGAGAUGUUGGGUUAAGUCCCGCAACGAGCGCAACCCUUUUCCUUAUUUGCCAGCGGGUUAAGCCGGGAACUUUAAGGAUACUGCCAGUGACAAACUGGAGGAAGGCGGGGACGACGUCAAGUCAUCAUGGCCCUUACGACCAGGGCUACACACGUGCUACAAUGGUCGGUACAAAGGGUUGCUACCUAGCGAUAGGAUGCUAAUCUCAAAAAGCCGAUCGUAGUCCGGAUUGGAGUCUGCAACUCGACUCCAUGAAGUCGGAAUCGCUAGUAAUCGCGGAUCAGAAUGCCGCGGUGAAUACGUUCCCGGGGCCUUGUACACACCGCCCGUCACACCAUGGGAAUUUGUUGCACCAGAAGUAGGUAGUCUAACCGCAAGGAGGACGCUUACCACGGGGCCGAUGACUGGGUGAGCGUAAAAA
RNAcentral lists this ribosomal RNA (1116 nucleotides) under Acinetobacter johnsonii. RNAcentral's name for it is "bacterial SSU rRNA". It matches the Rfam family "Bacterial small subunit ribosomal RNA", at positions 381 to 1494 of the family's 1533-position model. The record is from RNAcentral. Lineage: Bacteria; Pseudomonadati; Pseudomonadota; Gammaproteobacteria; Moraxellales; Moraxellaceae.